AAGAAACCAACAGGGAUUGCCCCAGUAACGGCGAGCGAAGCGGCAAUAGCCCAGAUUUGAAAUCCGGUGCCCGAUUGGGAACCUGAGUUGUAAUCUGUAGAGGAUGUCGCUGAUUGACAGAAUUCCCGAAGUCCCCUGGAAUGGGGUGCCAUAGAGGGUGAGAGCCCCGUGCGGGAAGGCUGGACGGUCAUUAUGCGGCUCCUUCGGCGAGUCGAGUAGUUUGGGAAUGCUGCUCUAAAUGGGAGGUAAAUUCCUUCUAAGGCUAAAUAUCGGCCGGAGACCGAUAGCGCACAAGUAGAGUGAUCGAAAGAUGAAAAGCACUUUGAAAAGAGGGUUAAACAGUACGUGAAAUUGUUGAAAGGGAAGCGCCCGCGACCAGACUUGUAUUCGAGUGAUCCCCUAGCGUUCGUCGAUAGGUUACUCAUUCGGCAUUACAGGCCAGCAUCGGUUAGUGUUCAGGGGAUAAGUGCAGUAGGAACGUGACUUUCCCUCGUGGAAAGUGUUAUAGCCUGUUGCAAAGUACUCUGACACCGAUCGAGGCCCGCGCAAUUGCACGGAUGCUGGCAUAAUGGUCGCUGGCGACCCGUCUUGAAACACGGACCAAGGAGUCGAGGUUUUCCGCGAGUGUGCGGGUGUUAAACCCGCCCGCGAAAUGAAAGUGAACGUAGGUGAGAGCCUUUACUGGCGCACCACCGACCGAUCCCAAAGUCUUCUGCGGGAAUCGAGUACGAGCGGUAAGCCUCGGACCCGAAAGAUGACGAACUAUGCCUGCAUAGAAUGAAGCCAGAGGAAACUCUGGUGGAGGUUCGCAGCGGUUCUGACGUGCAAAUCGAUCGUCAAAUGUGGGCAUGGGGGCGAAAGACUAAUCGAGUCAUCUAGUAGCUGGUUACCGCC
Molecule: ribosomal RNA, 894 nt
Filed under: Irenopsis cornuta
Lineage: Eukaryota; Fungi; Ascomycota; Sordariomycetes; Meliolales; Meliolaceae
Description: eukaryotic LSU rRNA
Rfam family: Eukaryotic large subunit ribosomal RNA
Source: RNAcentral